CCUACGGGUGGCAGCAGUGGGGGAUAUUGCACAAUGGGGGAAACCCUGAUGCAGCGACGCCGCGUGUGGGAAGACGGUCUUCUGGAUUGUAAACCACUGUCCCCAGGGACGAAAAUGACGGUACCUGGGGAGGAAGCUCCGGCUAACUACGUGCCAGCAGCCGCGGUAAUACGUAGGGAGCAAGCGUUGUCCGGAAUUACUGGGUGUAAAGGGAGCGUAGGCGGCAAGGCAAGCCAGAAGUGAAAGGGCAGGGCUCAACCCUGUACAUGCUUUUGGAACUGUGGUGCUAGAGUGCAGGAGAGGUAAGUGGAAUUCCUAGUGUAGCGGUGAAAUGCGUAGAUAUUAGGAGGAACACCAGUGGCGAAGGCGGCUUACUGGACUGUAACUGACGUUGAGGCUCGAAAGCGUGGGGAGCAAACAGGAUUAGAUACCCCAGUAGUC
RNAcentral lists this ribosomal RNA (441 nucleotides) under uncultured bacterium. RNAcentral's name for it is "partial 16S ribosomal RNA". It matches the Rfam family "Bacterial small subunit ribosomal RNA", at positions 338 to 795 of the family's 1533-position model. The record is from RNAcentral.